This 75-nucleotide transfer RNA is filed under the name Vibrio anguillarum. RNAcentral's name for it is "tRNA-Val". It matches the Rfam family "tRNA". From Rfam's summary of the family: Transfer RNA (tRNA) molecules are approximately 80 nucleotides in length. Their secondary structure includes four short double-helical elements and three loops (D, anti-codon, and T loops). Lineage: Bacteria; Pseudomonadati; Pseudomonadota; Gammaproteobacteria; Vibrionales; Vibrionaceae. The record is from RNAcentral.
GGGCGAUUAGCUCAGUUGGGAGAGCCCUGCCUUACAAGCAGGGGGUCACUGGUUCGAACCCGGUAUCGCCCACCA